GCCCAGUUUAUUAUUGGUGGAAGAGACAACCCAGAUACAAUGUACCUGAGAAGAGACCACCGACCUUAAAGCGUCCGUAUGAUGUAGACAAAUUUCACAACAGUGUGGUCAGCCACCCACAAGAUGAACAAGACGCUUGGAAAUAUACGACGAAGUCGAUUCACACGUAAACUCUUGGUUGAUUUGGACUUAAAAAUAUCGCCCUAUAAAGAAGAAUGGCAGAAACAGUAGUCGGCACGAUAUAAACAACCCCAAACAAUAUCUCCAAAAAAAAAAUUCCAGUUUUGGAAAUGCACGAACUGCGACGCUUUAUGCCAGCAUACUUCAUGAAGCACAUUAUUUUUAUAUUUAACUUGGAACCAUUUCUGUCGGAAUAUUCCCAGCCGUUAGAAUAGUCGUGCUAUAUUUAUCCAUAUUCAUACGCACAUCGUUCACAUUCAUGAGUUAAUGGCUACCAUUUUAAGUGGUAAAGAUAUCAAAAGUAAA
This is a long non-coding RNA of Ostrea edulis (European flat oyster), 486 nucleotides long. RefSeq lists it as uncharacterized. The record is from RefSeq and is a predicted model, not a curated record. The transcript has 3 exons. NCBI's taxonomy places the organism in Eukaryota, Metazoa, Mollusca, Bivalvia, Ostreida, Ostreidae.